Sycon ciliatum is the source of this 1056-nucleotide long non-coding RNA. RefSeq lists it as uncharacterized. The record is from RefSeq and is a predicted model, not a curated record. NCBI's taxonomy places the organism in Eukaryota, Metazoa, Porifera, Calcarea, Leucosolenida, Sycettidae. The transcript has 3 exons.
CAACCGCGGCCAUUUUGGUGAUGGACGACCGAAAUGCCAUGAUGUGAGUGGAACCGGCCGCAUCCACAAAGGACGCGAGAGGAGUGCCUAUUGUCCUCCAUCAAGCCUCGAAAUCGACAAGACUGAUGACAAAUCGCAGGAGUGAUUCCGUGAUUACCACUCUACCAUACAAUGGCUGCACCUACUCGAAGAGCUGCACACUGAUGGUGUAGGAUUCCUGGGCAGCUCCGUGCCACGCAAGCUUGGAUCUACCAUGUGCUGCAUCAGUGAAGCAGGCUGUCAUGUUCAUCCAGCAUGCAUCAUGCUGCCAUGUAUCCUGGGACCAGGACCACAAGAUUUGUACAGGGCAGGAUUGAAGCGAGUAAGCCACUCAUGGGUGACAUGUGCGAGGUCUCUGUCAAGCAACUUCUCAGAGACACAUGAAGCAUCUGGGAAAUGAUAUCCGGAUCCUUUCCACUUUCCGUAAAUACUGCGGCGUCUGGACUUCAUCGUUCUGCAAUCUUACCGUAAGCAUCUUCCUGCGUGUUUUUAAAAAUAAUAUCAAAUCUCGCUUGUGUCAAUCAGACAGCUCGCAAUGUACACUUACCCAGCAUAAAGCAUUUCAGUGUGUGGUUGCCAUAGCAGUGGCCGCCACGCUGAUCUUCAGUAGAGCUGUGGUACCCCGUGCUGAACUCUGUACUGGUAGUACUGGUUCAUAGAUUGUUUGCUACAUGUACAAUCAUGUCCAUGUAUGCUGGACUCUCAUAUUAACAGCUACAGCACAAGCCACCUCAUGUAUAGCACAUGGAUGACUGACCACACGCUACUGUCCUUACUCAGAUUUUUCAUCGACCACCAAGCCAUUACUGCCCUCACCAGCCAGCCUUGAUACGUUGCCACAGCAUACCACCAGCAAAGCCGCGGACACAUCCGUUCGCACUGAAUUCCUUCAUACAGCUGUUUCGAGUACAAAACUCUCGUCAGUGAAGGUAGAUAUUGUAGAAUGGCAAUGGUAGUGAAAGCCACCCUUUUGUACUCAAAGGGGUACGCAUAAUGUGCACGCCUCAGGCGCGAAGA